GUGGGGAAUAUUGGGCAAUGGGGGAAACCCUGACCCAGCGACGCCGCGUGAGGGAAGACGGCCUUCGGGUUGUAAACCUCUUUUGUACGGGAAGAAGGAAGUGACGGUACUGUACGAAUAAGUCCCGGCUAACUACGUGCCAGCAGCCGCGGUAAUACGUAGGGGACGAGCGUUGUCCGGAAUUACUGGGCGUAAAGGGCGCGCAGGCUGUGCUGCAAGUCAGCUGUGAAAUGUCUGGGCUUAACCCGGGCAUGCGGUUGAGACUGCAGUGCUGGAGUGCUGUAGAGGCAAGUGGAAUUCCCAGUGUAGCGGUGAAAUGCGUAGAUAUUAGGAAGAACACCAGUGGCGAAGGCGACUUUCUGGACGAAAACUGACGCUGAGGCGCGAAAGCCAGGGGAGCGAACGGGAUUAGAUACCCCGGUAGUCC
Molecule: ribosomal RNA, 427 nt
Filed under: uncultured bacterium
Lineage: Bacteria
Description: partial 16S ribosomal RNA
Rfam family: Bacterial small subunit ribosomal RNA
Source: RNAcentral